RNAcentral lists this unclassified non-coding RNA (386 nucleotides) under fungal sp. RNAcentral describes it as "partial internal transcribed spacer region". The stretch from base 1 to 46 matches the Rfam family "Eukaryotic small subunit ribosomal RNA", at positions 1786 to 1831 of the family's 1831-position model. Lineage: Eukaryota; Fungi. The record is from RNAcentral.
AAGUCGUAACAAGGUUUCCGUAGGUGAACCUGCGGAAGGAUCAUUAUCACGUUAUCCACGUUAUCAACCAUUGUGAACUGUUGCGACCAUCUGAAAAUUAUUUUAUGAAAGAGUUGUUAUAGACAAACGUUUUUGUCAUUUUAUGACAAAACAAACAAUAGUGAUUUGAAAUUGUUUGAGUUUGUUUAUGGCCUACAACUUUCGGGUUGUCUUUCUAAAUUUUCGAUGAGUAUUAUUUUUCAAAUCAUUAAAUUAACAAUUUAAACCCAAUUCAAUUCAAUUUUGAACUGAAUUAAUUUCUUACUUUUUUUUUUUCAUUAAGAAAAAAGAAGAAAUAAUCUUACGAAACAUAAGAACAACUCUUAGCAACGGAUAUCUUGGUUCUC